RNAcentral lists this small RNA (280 nucleotides) under Otolemur garnettii (small-eared galago). RNAcentral describes it as "Metazoan signal recognition particle RNA (ENSOGAG00000031391.1)". The record is from RNAcentral. Lineage: Eukaryota; Metazoa; Chordata; Mammalia; Primates; Galagidae.
GUUGGGCAUUGUGGUGGGUGCCUGUGGUCCCAGCUACCUGGGAGGCUGAGGCAGGGGACUCGCUUGAGCCCAGGAGUUGGAGGUUGCUGUGAGCUGUGAUGCCAUAACACUCUACCCAGGGGGAUAGCUUGAGGCUCUGUCUCAAAAAAAAAAAAAAAAGUUUUCAGUUUUUUUUGUUUGUUUUUUGAGACAGAAUCUCAAGCUGUUGCCCUGGGUAGAGUGCCGUGGCAUGAUAUCUCACAGCAACCUCCAACUCUUGGGCUCAAGCAAUCCUCUUGCC